GUGAGGAAUUUUCCGCAAUGGGCGAAAGCCUGACGGAGCAAUGCCGCGUGAAGGAUGAAGGCCUAUGGGUUGUAAACUUCUUUUCUCAGAAAAGAAUUAUGACGGUAUCUGAGGAAUAAGCAUCGGCUAACUCUGUGCCAGCAGCCGCGGUAAGACAGAGGAUGCAAGCGUUAUCCGGAAUGAUUGGGCGUAAAGCGUCUGUAGGUUGUUUAAAAAGUAUUCUGUCAAAGAUUAGGGCUUAACCCUAGAUAGGCAGAAUAAACUUUUAAGCUAGAGUUUGGUAGAGGCAGAGGGAAUUACCGGUGGAGCGGUGAAAUGCGUAGAUAUCGGGAGGAACACCAAAGGCGAAGGCACUCUGCUGGGCCAAUACUAACACUGAGAGACGAAAGCGAGGGGAGCAAAUGGGAUUAGAUACCCGGGUAGUCC
This 426-nucleotide ribosomal RNA is filed under the name uncultured bacterium. Its description in RNAcentral is "partial 16S ribosomal RNA". It matches the Rfam family "Bacterial small subunit ribosomal RNA", at positions 354 to 796 of the family's 1533-position model. The record is from RNAcentral.